UGGAGAGCCAUACACGGAGGGACAGAAUUUCUCCGCAGUUCCGCCGUUGGACUCCGGAACCUGCCAGUCCGAUUUCAUCAGCGCUGAGAAUUCGAUGGUUUUCCGGGUGCAUCUCUCUCUCUCUUAGCAGACAGGGUUUCUCUGUGUAGCCCUGGUUGCCAUCUUGGAACUCUUUCUGUAGACAAGACUGGCCUCAAAGUCCACUUGCUUCUGCUUCCCAAGUGCUGGACUUAAAGAUUGCACAGUGUGACUCCCACCAUCACUUGCUUGCACCCCGACUAUGUAGCUCUCCAUUUCUUCCAAGGCCAAUUAUCCAUCAGUGAAUACAGUCAUUUCCUGGCUGAUUUUCAAUCAAGAUGUAGAACUCUCAGCUCCUUCUCCAGCAUCAUGCCUGCCUUCAUGCUGCCCUGCUUCCUGACACGAUGACAGACUUCUGAAACUGUAAGCCAGCCCCAAUUAAAUGUUUGCCUUUAUAAGAGUUGCUUUGGUCAUGAUGUGUCUUCACAGGAAUAAAACCCAAACUAAGACAACAGCAAAGUAUUUUCUUGGUUAUUACCUGCUGUUUCUGAGUGAGCAAAUUCUGCAUGUCAGAUCUUUGGUAAGAUGUUAGGUCCAGCCCCAACCCCUGUGGGAUGAAUUGCUCUGCUAGCUUGUUGCCCACGGCUUUAGCACACAACAUAGCAGCUGUGGUUAAAAUGGCCAAACAGCAAAGUCCUGAGUCAUUUCCAUGUUCCUGUUUUUAUCCUGAGAAUGUAAACUUGUUUUUCCACUGUGCUUCAGGGGUUUUUCUACCAAGAGCUAAGACUGCAUAUAUAUCUGCCUGGAACCUUGAGUAAACGGCAUUUUCUGAGUACAAAUGUCUCGAGUCUGUAUCUUUCGUUAAAUCCCCCAGGCCUAUGCCCAGUUCUCGGUACUGUGGAUGCUGUCAAGUGUAGGUUCCACUGAGAUUGAGAAAGUGAGGAGCCCCUGACAGGAUUGUUCCAAGAAACCAGCUGGUGAAGUGAAAGGAACGUAUUGGGUGAGCAGCACAGUGGCGAACCAAAAGUAAGUUUAGUUCGCAGUAAGUAAAAGGAUUGUGCCAUUGGAAUCUCAAGUUUCAUAUUACAGCUAACAGAUCAGAUGGUAGCUCUGCUCAAACAGCAGGGAAUAGGGAUAAAUAUAAAAACAGCUAAAGAAUUUAUUAAAACUUUAGAAAAGAAUAGUCCCUGGUUUGUUCAUUCAGGAAGACUUAAUAUUCCUGAUUGGGAACAUAUUAAGGCAGAUUUGCAAAAAUUACUGCAGAGAGAUGGCCCUGAGAGCAUUCCUGUUGCCAUGUUCUCUUUGUGGAGAUUGGUCAAGGAUGCUCUCUUGAGUACCAAUGCUAAAAUAAAGGAACAAAUGUCAGAGAUAGAAAGUACAUCCGGGCAGCACAGGAUGAAGUCUUUACAAACUUCUGACUCAGAACAGGAUUCAAGUUCAGAGGAGGAUGAAGAAGAGACAUUAGAAAAAGAAAUAGAAGAGCUUAAAAGGAAGAGUAAUAAGUGCAGGGUUGCUAAAAACUCAGAAUCUCGUCCUCCUAUUAUUUAAAGAAGAGGGAGCUAUUGGUCCUCCUGCCUAUGAACCCUAUUCUUCCUCAGAGUGGUGUUAUGCAAAGAAGGCUCCAAGGAGAGGGGUAAUUUUUCCUGAGCCUCCCCCUGGACAGGGGGCAGUGUAACCUGUUGUUGAGGUCCCAGACCUCAACAAUGCAGGUCAAUUUAUUAGACAACAUGUUCCUCUGAGUUUCAAGGAGUUGAAAAGCUUGAAAGAAGCAGUCUCUGCUUAUGGUCCCCUUGCUCCCUUUACUUCUGCUAUUUUUGAAUCUUAUGUUACAUCCAAUUUGACUUCUGGAGAUUGGCAACAAGUAUGUAGGGCAGUGCUGUCUGGGGGAGAUUGCCUCAUAUGGAGAGGAGAAUAUUGGGAGCAGUGCGCCCAGAAAGCUCAGAGAGAUGCUGCUGCGGGAUGGGGGUGGGACAUCUUGCAUGAUAUGAGAACAGUGGUUACCACCCAACAAGUGAAGAGGAUGCUGCAUGAACAGGGAUUUGCCCCUGGUGGGGGUUUGGGGAGGUACCUGGCAGGGGACCCUCAACCUGUGUCUGAUGGGACCUAGUUGUUCGAGCCCAUGCAGAUGGGAUGCGAUUGGGAAGUUUGUCAUGGGGGGGUUACUGCUAAGUUGCUUCCUAUCCUGUGUGGGUAGAGCAGUGGCCCCUUUCUUUCUGAAGGAUUAGAGGCAGCACAUGGACUUUUGCAGGAGCGGUUGCAGGCAGGGCACAUUGUUCCCUCCGCUUCUCCCUGGAACGUUUCUUUGUGGUCCUCUUACAUGCAUGGAUGCUGCUCCUCUGAUGUUAAGACAGGGGGUAGCUUUUAAUUCCACUACCUAUUGGAAUACAUCUAUCACCUUUGAUGUUCCCUUAAAUUUGAAAAUGUUUAGUUUAAAUUUAAAUAUCUCUUCCUUCACCUGUGUAAUUCCUCCAUUUUUCCUUGUGGUUUGGAAUGGUACAAAUGCUGGAGAUAGUCUUGACUAUUCUUCACAGGAAUGUCAUCUAUGUGAAGCUGCUGGGGACCAGAGGACUCUGUCCUGGUUGUGCAGAUCCCAGGCAUAGUUCCAUUGCCUGUCAAUAAUUCAAGAAAAAAUCAACUGAUCUUGACCUGUCAUAAGAGAGACUUUGGCAUCACCGCUGCUAUUGGCACCUUCUCCUUGGGCAUUAUUGUUCUUGGAGCUGCUUUUGUGUGUGCAUUUUUUUCUUUGUUGCCUGGGCAGAAAACAAGCCCAGAGCCAAGCUGUCAAUCGACAGAGAAUGUUAUCUUUGGUGGAGACAACCCAUCAGCCCAGAUAUGGCUGAGCAUAUAUAAAAAUUAGGCAGCCAAGGACGGGUAAGACCAUGGGAGUGUCUGGCAACCUAAGACAGGAGUUCCAUGGUGUGCUGCCCAAUGAUGGGUAAGGCAGACACUGACGUCCAGGAGUCACCUAAGAAGGCGCUAAUUUAUAAAUAAAAAAGGGAGAGUUAUUGGGUCCAGCCCCUACCCCUGUGGGAUGAAUUGCUCUGCUAGCUUCUUGCUAGCUGUUUGCAAGGCUGUCGCACACAAUGUAGCAGCUAUGGUUAAAACGGCCAAACAACAAAGUCCUGAGUCAUUUCUGUAUUCCUGUUUUGAAUCCUGAGAAUGUAAACUUGUUUUUCCACUGUGCUUCCAGGGUUUUUCCACCAAGGGCUAAGAUUGUAUAUACUGUGUGAACCUUAGUAAAACUUUGUCAUUCUCUUA
Molecule: non-coding RNA, 3276 nt
Organism: Rattus norvegicus (Norway rat)
Lineage: Eukaryota; Metazoa; Chordata; Mammalia; Rodentia; Muridae
Source: RefSeq, a predicted model, not a curated record